CAGCAGCCGCGGUAAUACAGAGGGUGCGAGCGUUAAUCGGAUUUACUGGGCGUAAAGCGUGCGUAGGCGGCUUCUUAAGUCGGAUGUGAAAUCCCUGAGCUUAACUUAGGAAUUGCAUUCGAUACUGGGAAGCUAGAGUAUGGGAGAGGAUGGUAGAAUUCCAGGUGUAGCGGUGAAAUGCGUAGAGAUCUGGAGGAAUACCGAUGGCGAAGGCAGCCAUCUGGCCUAAUACUGACGCUGAAGUACGAAAGCAUGGGGAGCAAACAGGAUUAGAUACCCCCGUAGUCCCUGUCUCUUAUAC
Molecule: ribosomal RNA, 301 nt
Filed under: uncultured bacterium
Lineage: Bacteria
Description: partial 16S ribosomal RNA
Rfam family: Bacterial small subunit ribosomal RNA
Source: RNAcentral